AUCUGGCUAUGACCAUUCUCCGGGCCCAAAUCUUUUAAUGGCUCUUCAUUGCCCAAAGACAUUCUCCUAGCUCUCUUGCAGUGAAGAAAAGAAUACGUUUUUAACUAAAAUAUCUUCAAAGGGGGAAAAAAAGUUCUUUUGUCUGCCUCCCCAGGAUUACAUAUAAUCUUUAUAACAUGAGCUCAUAAAGGCAGAGGUUUUGCUUUCUUCAUCUUUUGUGUUCAGCAGGCCAUAGGGCACCCGGCUCAUAAUAUACAUUUAAUAAAUGAGUGAAACUGAAUUAAAAGAGAGAGAAAAUCAUGAAGAUCAAAGGCAAAUUAAGAAGCUGAGAAAGCAGCAGAGCAGAGUGAACAAGGGAAAAAAGACCUCAUUUUCAGCCAUGCUUUCCAUCAUCCCUUUCCAGCAUUUUAUGGCAGUUCCCUGGCAGGGCUCCCAUGCUGUAGCAAGCCAGGGAAGGGAGAUGGCAGAAUGAUGUUGCUCGUGGGAUUUUGCCCUGCUCUUUGAUUUUGAUGCUGUAGGGCAGGUGCAUUUUCUAAAUUACAUACUAAGGUGGCAGGUCAUUUUUAGCCCCACCUGGAAAAUGAGGUCUUAGUUUUCAACAGACAGGCAUUUCUGAGCAAAGCCCGGAGGCUCCCAGGUAAACUGGAAAACAGAUGCUCUUGCCAGAAGCAAACUUGGCUGGGGAGGCCUGGUAGAUACAGCAGCUGAAAGAUCCCAGACCUUGGCAACCUGCCAGCUGGCCAAAACCUAUAAAGGUCCGAGGUCUCAGGUUGCUGAAGUGGCAUGUUCAGGACUUUCUGGGACCCUGUUCUUUCAAGAUCUCCACAGUGCAAAAACGGAGGAUGUUGAGGAUCCAUCCAUACUGGCUCGGGCUUGGAGAGAGUGCUGGCUGCCUACCUCCCAACCCAAAGGAAACCUGCUCCUCUUGGGGAGAAUGGGCACAAGGGUUUCCCACAUUUCAGGGACCCUUACUCAGGGUAACCUUUCUCCCUUCAUCAUUUGCGGUCCAAUGAAAGGAAUGGGGCGCCCUUCCGACGUCACCCGCGGAGGGCGUGCGCAGCAGCUGAG
Molecule: long non-coding RNA, 1068 nt
Filed under: Sus scrofa (pig)
Lineage: Eukaryota; Metazoa; Chordata; Mammalia; Artiodactyla; Suidae
Description: lncRNA (ENSSSCG00055005468.1)
Source: RNAcentral